RNAcentral lists this ribosomal RNA (326 nucleotides) under uncultured eukaryote. RNAcentral's name for it is "partial 18S ribosomal RNA". It matches the Rfam family "Eukaryotic small subunit ribosomal RNA", at positions 1470 to 1796 of the family's 1831-position model. The record is from RNAcentral.
CCCUUAGAUGUUCUGGGCCGCACGCGCGCUACACUGAUGCAUUCAACAAGCCUAGCCUUGACCGAGAGGUCCGGGUAAUCUUUGAAACUGCAUCGUGAUGGGGUUAGAUUAUUGCAAUUAUUAAUCUUCAACGAGGAAUGCCUAGUAAGCGUGAUUCAUCAAAUCGCGUUGAUUACGUCCCUGCCCUUUGUACACACCGCCCGUCGCUCCUACCGAUUGAAUGUGUUGGUGAGGAGCUCGGAUUGGCAGCAGUUGGUGGUUCGCCACCGGCUAUUGCUGAGAAGUCCUCCAAACCGCCCCAUUUAGAGGAAGGAGAAGUCGUAACA